UGGGAAUAUUGGACAAUGGGCGCAAGACUGAUCCAGCCAUGCCGCGUGGAUGAUGAAGGCCUUAGGGUUGUAAAGUCCUUUUAACGGGGAAGAUAAUGACGGUACCCGUAGAAUAAGCCCCGGCUAACUUCGUGCCAGCAGCCGCGGUAAUACGAAGGGGGCUAGCGUUGCUCGGAAUCACUGGGCGUAAAGCGCAAUUAGGCGGAUUCUUAAGCAGGUGGUGAAAGCAUGGAGCUCAACUCCAGAUAGGCCUUAGACGGUAUUAGUCUGGGUUUCCGCAGAGGAUAGCGGAAUACCGGGCAGAUUGGUGAAGCAUUACUCAUAUUGUCAGGAACUCCAGUGCAGAAGGAGGAUCAUGUUACCGGUAGAGUCGCAGAUGUGCGAAAGCCGGCAGGCAACCAU
This 402-nucleotide ribosomal RNA is filed under the name uncultured Hyphomicrobiales bacterium. RNAcentral's name for it is "bacterial SSU rRNA". It matches the Rfam family "Bacterial small subunit ribosomal RNA", at positions 356 to 775 of the family's 1533-position model. Lineage: Bacteria; Pseudomonadati; Pseudomonadota; Alphaproteobacteria; Hyphomicrobiales. The record is from RNAcentral.